RNAcentral lists this transfer-messenger RNA (408 nucleotides) under Patescibacteria group. RNAcentral describes it as "MFJZ01 sp016199185 Standard tmRNA". It matches the Rfam family "transfer-messenger RNA". Rfam says of the family: Bacterial tmRNA, also known as 10Sa RNA or SsrA, is named for its dual tRNA and mRNA-like properties. The record is from RNAcentral. RNAcentral also lists the same sequence under 1 other name.
GGGGAUGAAUGAUUCGACGAGAGAAGUACAUUAACAACUGCAAGCCGGCGAUGACAAAAGAGCCGUAAAACUUUGUUAAAAUUUAUCUGCUGAUAACUCAGACAGAAAACAGUCACUCCGUGAAGAACUCGCAGCUUUGCGAGCGCAUUUCGGUAUGACUCCUCGACAGUUUGCGUUCGCGUAAACAGUUCAGGCGUUUAGCGAUAAUUUUUCUCGGUGGAUUGCGCUAGGCGGAAACUUAGCCGGGACGUCAGGAAUCAAUUGACCGACUGAUUCCGGAGCAAAAAGGUCAAACCCGUCUGUACGUUUUGUCUGUUUUGAGUACUGACGGUCAUCAAAUAGACUACGCUUGUAGACGUUAUCAGUGUACUUCCUCGGACCCGAGCUCACUACUCGGCAUCUCCACCC